RNAcentral lists this ribosomal RNA (478 nucleotides) under Boana raniceps (Chaco treefrog). RNAcentral describes it as "partial large subunit ribosomal RNA". It matches the Rfam family "Bacterial large subunit ribosomal RNA", at positions 1926 to 2555 of the family's 2925-position model. Lineage: Eukaryota; Metazoa; Chordata; Amphibia; Anura; Hylidae. The record is from RNAcentral.
AACGGCCGCGGUAUCCUAACCGUGCGAAGGUAGCGUAAUCACUUGUUCUUUAAAUGAGGACUAGUAUGAAUGGCACCACGAGGGUUAAACUGUCUCCUUUUUUUAAUCAGUGAAACUAAUCUCCCCGUGAAGAAGCGGGGAUUCUUUUAUAAGACGAGAAGACCCUAUGGAGCUUUAAACAAGUUAACACCUGCUACUAAUCCUCACUUUCCUGAACCACCACAUUAAGUAUAGCACCUCUGAUUAACAGUUUUCGAUUGGGGUGAUCAUGGAGCAAAAAUCAACCUCCACGACGAAAAGGAACACCUCCUUGAGCCAAAAGCUACAACUUUAAGCACUAAAAAACUAACGCACUUUGACCCAAUUCUUUGAGCAACGAACCAAGUUACCCUAGGGAUAACAGCGCAAUCCACUUUAAGAGCCCCUAUCGACAAGUGGGUUUACGACCUCGAUGUUGGAUCAGGGUAUCCCAGUGGUG